Molecule: non-coding RNA, 73 nt
Organism: Podarcis lilfordi (Lilford's wall lizard)
Lineage: Eukaryota; Metazoa; Chordata; Lepidosauria; Squamata; Lacertidae
Source: the annotation of a GenBank genome assembly
GGGCCAUAGCCCAGUGGCAGAGCAUAUGCCCUGCAAGCAGAAGGUCGCAGGUUCAAUCCCAACGACGUCUCCA